UGGGGAAUUUUGGACAAUGGGCGAAAGCCUGAUCCAGCAAUGCCGCGUGUGUGAAGAAGGCCUUCGGGUUGUAAAGCACUUUUGUCCGGAAAGAAAUCCUUGGCUCUAAUACAGUCGGGGGAUGACGGUACCGGAAGAAUAAGCACCGGCUAACUACGUGCCAGCAGCCGCGGUAAUACGUAGGGUGCAAGCGUUAAUCGGAAUUACUGGGCGUAAAGCGUGCGCAGGCGGUUUGCUAAGACCGAUGUGAAAUCCCCGGGCUCAACCUGGGAACUGCAUUGGUGACUGGCAGGCCAGAGUAUGGCAGAGGGGGGUAGAAUUCCACGUGUAGCAGUGAAAUGCGUAGAGAUGUGGAGGAAUACCGAUGGCGAAGGCAGCCCCCUGGGCCAAUACUGACGCUCAUGCACGAAAGCGUGGGGAGCAAAACAGGAUUAGAUACCCUGGUAGUCCACGCCCUAAACGAUGUCAACUAGUUGUUGGGGAUUCAUUUCCUUAGUAACGUAGCUAACGCGUGAAGUUGACCGCCUGGGGAGUACGGUCGCAAGAUUAAAACUCAAAUGAAUUGACGGGGUC
This 573-nucleotide ribosomal RNA is filed under the name uncultured bacterium. RNAcentral describes it as "partial 16S ribosomal RNA". It matches the Rfam family "Bacterial small subunit ribosomal RNA", at positions 355 to 920 of the family's 1533-position model. The record is from RNAcentral.